Long non-coding RNA from Ananas comosus (pineapple), 313 nucleotides. RefSeq lists it as uncharacterized. The record is from RefSeq and is a predicted model, not a curated record. The transcript has 2 exons. Lineage: Eukaryota; Viridiplantae; Streptophyta; Magnoliopsida; Poales; Bromeliaceae.
GGGUUCCGACGGAUUCCGGAGCGAGGAUGCGGUUCGAGGCUUCCUAGCCGUAGGAUCAGGCCCGUCCCUUCGAUCCAACGGUGAAAAGGACCUUCGUUACCAUUUCAGCGCCUUCUUGUUGAUGCCUCUUUUCGCUCUCCCGCCACUAUCCCUAAACCCCUUCUCUCUCUCUCUCUCUCUCUCUCUCUCUCUCUCUCUCUCUCUGUGUUGAGGUGAUGUGUGCCCUUUUGUGUAAGUGAAGAAUUGAAGAUUUAGCUUCGAUUAUGUCGGAUUUUUUAUGGCUGAUUUAAUGUCAAUGAAAGUUGGUAGAAGG